CCUACGGGAGGCAGCAGUGGGGAAUAUUGGACAAUGGGCGAAAGCCUGAUCCAGCAAUGCCGCGUGAGUGAUGAAGGCCUUAGGGUUGUAAAGCUCUUUUACCAGGGAUGAUAAUGACAGUACCUGGAGAAUAAGCUCCGGCUAACUCCGUGCCAGCAGCCGCGGUAAUACGGAGGGAGCUAGCGUUGUUCGGAAUUACUGGGCGUAAAGCGUACGUAGGCGGUUAUUCAAGUCAGAGGUGAAAGCCUGGAGCUCAACUCCAGAACUGCCUUUGAAACUAGAUAGCUAGAAUCUUGGAGAGGUGAGUGGAAUUCCGAAGUGUAGAGGUGAAAAUUCGUAGAUAUUCGGAAGAACACCAGUGGCGAAGGCGACUCACUGGACAAGUAUUGACGCUGAGGUACGAAAGCGUGGGGAGCAAACAGGAUUAGAUACCCUGGUAGUCCACGCCGUAAACGAUGAUAACUAGCUGUUCGGGCUCUACGAGCUUGAGUUGGCGCAGACUACGACAUAAGUUAAGUCCGUCCGUCGGGAGGUACGGUCGACGAAGAAGUUAAAACUUAAAAGUUAAGUUAAGUUAGUACGGACGUUGAGACGUUAGCGACGGACGACGACGAGGGAGGAGG
This 623-nucleotide ribosomal RNA is filed under the name uncultured bacterium. Its description in RNAcentral is "bacterial SSU rRNA". The stretch from base 1 to 523 matches the Rfam family "Bacterial small subunit ribosomal RNA", at positions 338 to 873 of the family's 1533-position model. The record is from RNAcentral.